GAAAGAUUUGCACUUUUUUGUAAGUGAGAACAUCUGAAACAGGGACAGACAUCAAGAUUGGUUUUGGGAACAACAAAACUGUCAUCUUCCAAGAUCCAGCCUCCUGACCGUUGGGUGUGCUGUCUGAUCCAGCCAUUUAUAAUCUUCUGAAUCCAUUCAGUUUUACAGAAGCGUAUCGCUUGCAGAUUUAAGAAAAAAGACAAAGGGAAGUCUGGACCUGCAGGUCACUGAGACGAGAUCAGCAUGAGAGAAGAUCAUGGACUGCUGGAUGUUUUCCCACUGAGGGUUUCAGGCCUCUUCCAGUGACUGCGUAUGGCAGCUGAGCCAUGGGAGCCUUUGCAAAGGGAUGGGACCAGGCAGUGGGACUCCAGGACAGCUGGGACCUCUCCAGCCUUCCAGAAGCGUUCUUGCACAGCUCCCCGAGGACGUGUGGCUGCCCUCUGGGAUGGCAGGUGAGAAGGAGCCUCUGCAGUGCAGAGAGGAGUGCUGCUAAAAACCUUUCACUGAGGUAAAGGCUUGGGGGAUGUCCGUAGGACAGGUGCAGUGGGCCUGGGAGCUGAGCUGGAGUCCAGGAAGGCGGUGAAGACGUGGCCAAUGUAAAUCACUCGGGUUCUGUGUCCUCUCUGCAAAACCUUCUCAUCUCAGCGCCUUUGGCAGGAGGUGUCUGUUAACAACUACACGGCACGCAGCUUAAAACGUGAUGGUUUGUGCGGGUAAAGCCUGCUCUGUGUUUGGAGAGGCUGCACAAGAAAGGCUUGGGGCUGCAGCCUAACGCUAACCCGUGGGAGGCUGCAGGUUGUUCAGGGUCAGAGUGGAGGCAGCGUUGUUCAUCAGGUGGGUGUGAGUGGUUCUAUUUCACUGCGCCCUUUCAAGCAGCCUCGGAUGCUGUGAGGGGAGGCAUGCGAGGAAACUUCAAACAUGUAAAAGGCUGCUGAAAAAAGGGAAAGGAUCAUUUGUUCUCCCACUGCCAAGUAGAAAUUGGCUAAAAUUUUGGAUCCAGGCUGGCGACUGGGGAACAUAACUUUGUUUAAUAAUUUUAAAAAGUAGAGGGGCACGGGGUUGGGAAGUGUUUAGUACCAGCUCAGAGAAAGAGGCGUCAGAAAUGACCUUUUAUCAGUCUCCUGCUGGAGUUGGUCUGUGGAGACCAUCAGCCCAGCUUUGUGCCAGCUUUGAUGUGGAGAGAUGAGAGAUCACACUCAUCCACUGACACUGUCCUCAUGGUACAUUUGCUGGGGCAUCAUUUGUGGAGAGACUUUCAUGCUUAGGUGCUGUUUUGCUGUUCUUUCUAAACUUUCCCUUGCUUCAUGCCUCUCGGCUUAUGGUGUGGAAAAAACAGAGAACUCUCUAAGCGACCUUUCAGUAACUUUGAGCAGUUUCUGGCCUGGCCUCGUGACACGCAGGCAGCUGUUUAUUUAUAAAGGAAGCUAUGCAGACAUGGCAAGGAGUUGGCUGUUGACCCUUGCAAAGUGUUGUAAUAAGCUGGUGAUGGAAGAAGGAUAGGAAAAAAUCAAAGCAAGUCUUUACAUCAAAGGCAGAGAGAGGAGCCGCAAUUAACAUGGUCAGAUGUGGGAGAUUCAGCAGGGGAGAGAGCCGGUACCAGAAUCUGCACUGAUGUCCCCCCUGUCCAGACCCUAUCAAUCUUGCCAGGGAAUUUGACAGGUGAGGAAAGUCAAAGAGCAGCUGAGGGAUUCCGAAAUCAAAGGACUUUGAAAGCUGGAUCAGAGAAUGGAGCGCGAUUUCCCCAUCUGCUUUGAAUUUAUUGUUGCUAAUGAGGAAGCAUCUGCUUUGAAUUUAUUGUUGCUAAUGAGGUUGCUCUGGUCUGAGUGAGCACGCUGGACCAGAGGGGUCACUCGACAUUUCCAUCACAUUCAAAGGAAGGUAUCGGGGGACUUCUUCCUCCACGUUAACCCUUUCACUGUUAAGCACAUAUGAAAGAGCAAUGUAAAGUGAGGUGGAAAAGGGGAAAUACGUGUUUACUGCUUUCAAGCUGACCAAAGAGGUCAGUGGGGUCCUGUUUGGGUGCCUGACUGCUGGGAGCUCCU
This is a non-coding RNA of Anas platyrhynchos (mallard), 2042 nucleotides long. The record is from RefSeq and is a predicted model, not a curated record. Lineage: Eukaryota; Metazoa; Chordata; Aves; Anseriformes; Anatidae.